RNAcentral lists this ribosomal RNA (497 nucleotides) under uncultured bacterium. RNAcentral's name for it is "partial 16S ribosomal RNA". It matches the Rfam family "Bacterial small subunit ribosomal RNA", at positions 28 to 507 of the family's 1533-position model. The record is from RNAcentral.
GAUGAACGCUGGCGGCGUGCCUAAUACAUGCAAGUCGAGCGAACAGACGAGGAGCUUGCUCCUCUGACGUUAGCGGCGGACGGGUGAGUAACACGUGGAUAACCUACCUAUAAGACUGGGAUAACUUCGGGAAACCGGAGCUAAUACCGGAUAAUAUAUUGAACCGCAUGGUUCAAUAGUGAAAGACGGUCUUGCUGUCACUUAUAGAUGGAUCCGCGCCGCAUUAGCUAGUUGGUAAGGUAACGGCUUACCAAGGCAACGAUGCGUAGCCGACCUGAGAGGGUGAUCGGCCACACUGGAACUGAGACACGGUCCAGACUCCUACGGGAGGCAGCAGUAGGGAAUCUUCCGCAAAGGGCGAAAGCCUGACGGAGCAACGCCGCGUGAGUGAUGAAGGUCUUCGGAUCGUAAAACUCUGUUAUUAGGGAAGAACAAAUGUGUAAGUAACUAUGCACAUCUUGACGGUACCUAAUCAGAAAGCCACGGCUAACUACGUG